CUUAUUACUGUAGCCUGCAGUCAACUACCAGGCACAACACACCCACCGGACUCAUUACUGUAGCCUGCAGUCAACUACCAGGCACAACACACCCACCAGACUCAUUACUGUAGCCUGCAGUCAACUACCAGGCACAACACACCCACCGAGCUCAUUACUGUAGCCUGCAGUCAACUACCAGGCACAACACACCCACCGGACUCAUUACUGUAGUCUGUAGUCAACUACCAGGUACAACACACCCACCGGGCUCAUUACUGUAGCCUGUAGUCAACUACCAGGUACAACACACCCACCGGGCUCAUUACUGUAGCCUGUAGUCAACUACCAGGCACAACACACCCACCGGACAAAUUACUGUAGUCUGCAGUCAACUACCAGGUACAACACACCCACCAGACUCAUUACUGUAGUCUGCAGUCAACUACCAGGCACAACACACCCACCGGACUCAUUACUGUAGCCUGUAGUCAACUACCAGGCACAACACACCCACCGAGCUCAUUACUGUAGUCUGUAGUCAACUACCAGGUACAACACACCCACCAGACUCAUUACUGUAGUCUGCAGUCAACUACCAGGCACAACACACCCACCGGACUCAUUACUGUAGUCUGCAGUCAACUACCAGGCACAACACACCCACCGGACUCAUUACUGUAGUCUGCAGUCAACUACCAGGUACAACACACCCACCAGACUCAUUACUGUAGUCUGCAGUCAACUACCAGGCACAACACACCCACCGAGCUCAUUACUGUAGUCUGCAGUCAACUACCAGGUACAACACACCCACCAGACUCAUUACUGUAGUCUGCAGUCAACUACCAGGCACAACACACCCACCGGGCUCAUUACUGUAGCCUGUAGUCAACUACCAGGCACAACACACCCACCAGACUCAUUACUGUAGUCUGCAGUCAACUACCAGGCACAACACACCCACCGGGCUCAUUACUGUAGCCUGUAGUCAACUACCAGGCACAACACACCCACCAGACUCAUUACUGUAGUCUGCAGUCAACUACCAGGCACAACACACCCACCGGGCUCAUUACUGUAGUCUGCAGUCAACUACCAGGCACAACACACCCACCGGGCUCAUUACUGUAGCCUGUAGUCAACUACCAGGCACAACACACCCACCGGACUCAUUACUGUAGCCUGCAGUCAACUACCAGGCACAACACACCCACCGGGCUCAUUACUGUAGUCUGUAGUCAACUACCAGGCACAACACACCCACCGGGCUCAUUACUGUAGUCUGCAGUCAACUACCAGGCACAACACACCCACCAGACUCAUUACUGUAGUCUGCAGUCAACUACCAGGCACAACACACCCACCGGGCUCAUUACUGUAGUCUGUAGUCAACUACCAGGCACAACACACCCACCGGGCUCAUUACUGUAGCCUGUAGUCAACUACCAGGCACAACACACCCACCGGGCUCAUUACUGUAGUCUGCAGUCAACUACCAGGCACAACACACCCACCGGACUCAUUACUGUAGCCUGUAGUCAACUACCAGGCACAACACACCCACCGGGCUCAUUACUGUAGUCUGUAGUCAACUACCAGGCACAACACACCCACCGGGCUCAUUACUGUAGCCUGCAGUCAACUACCAGGUACAACACACCCACCGGACUCAUUACUGUAGUCUGCAGUCAACUACCAGGUACAACACACCCACCGGGCUCAUUACUGUAGCCUGUAGUCAACUACCAGGCACAACACACCCACCGGGCUCAUUACUGUAGCCUGCAGUCAACUACCAGGUACAACACACCCACCGGGCUCAUUACUGUAGUCUGCAGUCAACUACCAGGUACAACACACCCACCGGGCUCAUUACUGUAGCCUGUAGUCAACUACCAGGUACAACACACCCACCGGGCUCAUUACUGUAGCCUGUAGUCAACUACCAGGCACAACACACCCACCGGACUCAUUACUGUAGUCUGCAGUCAACUACCAGGCACAACACACCCACCGGACUCAUUACUGUAGUCUGCAGUCAACUACCAGGCACAACACACCCACCGGACUCAUUACUGUAGUCUGUAGUCAACUACCAGGCACAACACACCCA
This is a long non-coding RNA of Oncorhynchus keta (chum salmon), 2095 nucleotides long. RefSeq lists it as uncharacterized. The record is from RefSeq and is a predicted model, not a curated record. NCBI's taxonomy places the organism in Eukaryota, Metazoa, Chordata, Actinopteri, Salmoniformes, Salmonidae. The transcript is spliced from 4 exons.